UACGUAGGAUGCAAGCGUUGUCCGGAAUUAUUGGGCGUAAAGAGCGCGCAGGCGGUAUGACAAGUCAGAUGUGAAAGAGGCCGGCUUAACCGGCAAGGGUCAUUUGAAACUGUCAGACUAGAGUGCAGCAGAGGAUAGUGGAAUUCCCGGUGUAGUGGUGAAAUGCGCAGAUAUCGGGAGGAACACCAGUAGCGAAAGCGGCUCACUGGACCAUUACUGACACUGAGGCACGAAAGCUAGGGGAGACAAACAGGAGUUAGAAAACCCU
RNAcentral lists this ribosomal RNA (268 nucleotides) under uncultured bacterium. RNAcentral describes it as "partial 16S ribosomal RNA". It matches the Rfam family "Bacterial small subunit ribosomal RNA", at positions 524 to 788 of the family's 1533-position model. The record is from RNAcentral.